RNAcentral lists this long non-coding RNA (827 nucleotides) under Helianthus annuus (common sunflower). Its description in RNAcentral is "hypothetical non coding rna". Lineage: Eukaryota; Viridiplantae; Streptophyta; Magnoliopsida; Asterales; Asteraceae. The record is from RNAcentral.
ACUUAUAUGUACUAAGUAUGAAAGAUGUUAUGUGAAAGAGCUGAAAAUAAAAAUCAGAAAAAUGUAUAUGUUUGUGUGGCGUGUUCUAGAGAGAGAAGGGGAAAAAUCCUCUCCAGAAUUCAAGUCACAAAAUCAGUGAAUUGAAGGUAUAAUCCAAGCAAUUUCCUUGCAUGUUUGAAGAUUUUAACCCUCUAGCACCAUCUAAACCUAAGUUUGACUCUUAACAAGCUAGGUGGGAGCUUGAAAAGGAAUGGGUCAAACCGGUCAAGCGCGAGAGGAAGAUUGAAGGGACGCAAGGUUGAGGCUUAAAAGGAAAAGUUUGUGAAGUGCAUGCUUCAGCAAAGUGCACGCUACAGCAAAAGUGCACGCUUCAGCAGAGUGCACGCUACAGCAGAGUGCACGCUUCCGUAAAGUGCACAUAUUUAGUCGUCGCAGCAAAAUACAUCUGAAGGCGUUUCUGUCGCGAUACCCGACGACCCCCAGUUAUAAAAAGGCGGGAAACCAAACGGAAGACCAAGCACGCAAAGAACCGAACACUCCUAAACCACCAUCUCCCUGGAAACAUCUUUUUCAGGAAAGAUAAAGCGUAGGCAUGCAUGACAAAGUUUUGGAGUCUAGAACCUUGUUGUUUUUGGACUGUAAUAUAUAUAUAUAUAUAUGUAACAAUCUGUCAUGUUAGUUUGUCUGGGUUAUCAGUUAACCCAAUCUCGUAAACUAUUCGUUUUAUAUAAAAAAAAAAGAAAAAAAAUGGCACAAAAUCACCUGGAUAUUCAAGAUAUUCGGUGAAAACGGGAAUGAGUAUUACAUUUUUUGUGUUGUGUGGAUUG